This 32-nucleotide non-coding RNA is filed under the name Mus musculus (house mouse). Lineage: Eukaryota; Metazoa; Chordata; Mammalia; Rodentia; Muridae. The record is from RNAcentral.
UGGUUAUACUCUUAAAACCUCAUUAUCAUGCC